Long non-coding RNA from Myotis davidii, 119 nucleotides. RefSeq lists it as uncharacterized. The transcript is spliced from 3 exons. The record is from RefSeq and is a predicted model, not a curated record. Lineage: Eukaryota; Metazoa; Chordata; Mammalia; Chiroptera; Vespertilionidae.
AGGGCUCCCCAGGGGGGCCCGGCCCUCGUGGAGAUCCGGGAGAGCGAGGACCUCGAGGCCCAAAGGGGGAGCCGGGAGAGCCCGGCCGAGUGGCGGGGGGCGAUGGCCCUUCCUGGACC